AGCGAACGCUGGCGGCAGGCCUAACACAUGCAAGUCGAACGAACUCUUCGGAGUUAGUGGCGGACGGGUGAGUAACACGUGGGAACUUGCCUUUAGGUUCGGAAUAACUCAGGGAAACUUGUGCUAAUACCGAAUGUGCCCUUCGGGGGAAAGAUUUAUCGCCUUUAGAGCGGCCCGCGUCUGAUUAGCUAGUUGGUGAGGUAAAGGCUCACCAAGGCGACGAUCAGUAGCUGGUCUGAGAGGAUGAUCAGCCACAUUGGGACUGAGACACGGCCCAAACUCCUACGGGAGGCAGCAGUGGGGAAUCUUGCGCAAUGGGCGAAAGCCUGACGCAGCCAUGCCGCGUGAAUGAUGAAGGUCUUAGGAUUGUAAAAUUCUUUCACCGGGGACGAUAAUGACGGUACCCGGAGAAGAAGCCCCGGCUAACUUCGUG
Molecule: ribosomal RNA, 433 nt
Filed under: uncultured bacterium
Lineage: Bacteria
Description: partial 16S ribosomal RNA
Rfam family: Bacterial small subunit ribosomal RNA
Source: RNAcentral